CGCGCAGGCGGCCGACGUAGUCAGGCGUGAAAGCCCCGGGCUUAACCUGGGAAUUGCGUUUGAUACUCGUUGGCUAGAGUUCGGGAGAGGAUGGUGGAAUUCCCAGUGUAGAGGUGAAAUUCGUAGAUAUUGGGAAGAACACCGGUGGCGAAGGCGGCCAUCUGGACCGAAACUGACGCUGAGGCGCGAAAGCGUGGGGAGCAAACAGGAUUAGAUACCCUGGUAGUCCACGCCGUAAACGAUGUGUGCUAGACGUUGGUGGACCUAGUUCGCCAGUGUCGCAGCUAACGCGUUAAGCACACCGCCUGGGGAGUACGGCCGCAAGGUUAA
RNAcentral lists this ribosomal RNA (330 nucleotides) under uncultured bacterium. Its description in RNAcentral is "bacterial SSU rRNA". It matches the Rfam family "Bacterial small subunit ribosomal RNA", at positions 568 to 897 of the family's 1533-position model. The record is from RNAcentral.